GACCCAGUGGUGCAAUGUUCAGCACACCUGCACAAUUCAGUUCUGCAUCGAUUUGCUCUGCAGGAGAUCCCUGUUCGACUCGGGGCUGGGUUG
This is a non-coding RNA of Mycena rebaudengoi, 93 nucleotides long. Lineage: Eukaryota; Fungi; Basidiomycota; Agaricomycetes; Agaricales; Mycenaceae. The record is from the annotation of a GenBank genome assembly.